GCCGUGAGGUGUUGCCUUAAGUGGCGCAACGAGCGCAACCCCUGUCCUUAGUUGCCAGCGGGUAAUGCCGGGAACUCUAGGGAGACUGCCGGUGCCAAACCGGAGGAAGGUGGGGAUGACGUCAAGUCAUCAUGCCCCUUAUGUCCAGGGCUGCACGCAUGCUACAAUGCGCGGUACAGAGGGCUGCGAUCCCGUAAGGGGGAGCGAAUCCCAGAAAGCCGUGCUCAGUUCGGAUCGAGGUCUGCAACCCGACCUCGUGAAGUCGGAGUCGCUAGUAAUCGCAGAUCAGCAAUGCUGCGGUGAAUACGUUCCCGGGCCUUGUACACACCGCCCGUCACACCACGAAAGUGGGCAACACCCGAAGCCGGUGGCCCAACCCUUGUGGAGGGAGCCGUCGAAGGUGGGGCUCGCGAUUGGGGUGAAGUCGUAACAAGGUAGCCGUAGCGGAAGCUGCGGCUGGAUCACCUCCUUUCUAAGGAGCCAUUUGGCAACCCGUUCCGUUGUUCAUUUCUUGGCGGAUACGGAGACUCCAGGUUGAUCAUCUGCUCGAGACACGCUGUUCAGCUUUGAGGGUGCGACCCUCGAGCAUCUUGAGAACUCGAUAGCGAGCGCGAGCAUCUAGAAGUCAAGUGAACAAGGGCUUACGGUGGAUGCCUUGGCGCCAGGAGCCGAAGAAGGACGCGUCAGGCUGCGAAAAGCCUCGGGGAGCUGCCGAGAAAGCUGUGAUCCGAGGGUGU
Molecule: small RNA, 737 nt
Filed under: uncultured Micromonospora sp.
Lineage: Bacteria; Bacillati; Actinomycetota; Actinomycetes; Micromonosporales; Micromonosporaceae
Description: bacterial SSU rRNA
Rfam family: Bacterial small subunit ribosomal RNA (bases 1-472)
Source: RNAcentral